ANCGGUGGAGCAUGNGGUUUAAUUCGAUGAUACGCGAGGAACCUUACCUGGGCUAGAAUGUGAGGGAAUGGUCUGGAGACAGAUCAGUCAGCAAUGACCCGAAACAAGGUGCUGCAUGGCCGUCGUCAGCUCGUGCCGUGAGGUGUUGGGUUAAGUCCCGCAACGAGCGCAACCCCUAUGUUUAGUUGCCAGCAUGUAAUGGUGGGGACUCUAGACAGACUGCCUGCGCAAGCAGAGAGGAAGGAGGGGACGACGUCAGGUCAUCAUGGNCCUUACGNCCAGGGNGACACACGUGCUACA
Molecule: ribosomal RNA, 300 nt
Filed under: lignin enrichment culture E-35
Lineage: Bacteria
Description: bacterial SSU rRNA
Rfam family: Bacterial small subunit ribosomal RNA
Source: RNAcentral